RNAcentral lists this small nuclear RNA (148 nucleotides) under Chrysemys picta bellii (western painted turtle). RNAcentral describes it as "U2 spliceosomal RNA (ENSCPBG00000017340.1)". It matches the Rfam family "U2 spliceosomal RNA", at positions 37 to 185 of the family's 192-position model. Rfam says of the family: U2 is a small nuclear RNA (snRNA) component of the spliceosome (involved in pre-mRNA splicing). Complementary binding between U2 snRNA (in an area lying towards the 5' end but 3' to hairpin I) and the branchpoint sequence (BPS) of the intron results the bulging out of an unpaired adenosine, on the BPS, which initiates a nucleophilic attack at the intronic 5' splice site, thus starting the first of two transesterification reactions that mediate splicing. The record is from RNAcentral. Lineage: Eukaryota; Metazoa; Chordata; Testudines; Emydidae.
UAUCUGUUCUUAUCAGUUUAAUAUCUGAUAUGUUCUCGAUGUGAGAACUUUAUAUUAAAUGGAUUUUUGGAACAGGGAGAUGGAAUAGGAGCUUGCUAAAUCAACUCUAUGCAUCAACCUGGUAUUGCAGUACUGCCGGGCAUGGUGC